AUUGAACGCUGGCGGCAGGCUUAACACAUGCAAGUCGAGCGAGCGGCGGACGGGUGAGUAAUGUCUGGGAAACUGCCUGAUGGAGGGGGAUAACUACUGGAAACGGUAGCUAAUACCGCAUACUAUCAGAUGUGCCAAGAUGGGAUUAGCUAGUAGGUGGGGUAAUGGCUCACCCAGGCGACGAUCCCUAGCUGGUCUGAGAGGAGGACCAGCCACACGGGAACGGCGACACGGUCCAGACUCCUACGGGAGGCAGCAGUGGGGAAUAUUGCACAAGGGGCGAAGUCCGGAUGCAGCCAUGCCGCGGAGGUGAAGAAGGCCUUCGGGUUGUAAAGCACUUUCAGCGAGGAGGCGUUACUCGCAGAAGAAGCACCGGCUAACUCCGUGCCAGCAGCCGCGGUAAUAC
RNAcentral lists this ribosomal RNA (406 nucleotides) under uncultured bacterium. RNAcentral's name for it is "partial 16S ribosomal RNA". It matches the Rfam family "Bacterial small subunit ribosomal RNA", at positions 29 to 526 of the family's 1533-position model. The record is from RNAcentral.